RNAcentral lists this unclassified non-coding RNA (250 nucleotides) under plant metagenome. RNAcentral's name for it is "partial contains small subunit ribosomal RNA, internal transcribed spacer 1, and 5.8S ribosomal RNA". The record is from RNAcentral.
GUAGGUGAACCUGCGGAAGGAUCAUUACAAAAUCAGGUUUGGGUUGGUGGUGGUUAGUUUAGUUGGAUUGUGGGUGGAAAGGGAAGGGAGUUCUCUUUCUACUGCUCUACUUGCUAACCCGCCCCCUCAUAUCAUUUGCGCUUGUAUUGUUUGACAGAGUAAUCUUCUAUGCAUAAAUUGACAACUUUUAACAAUGGAUCUCUGGGCUCUUGCAUCGAUGAAGAAUGCAGCAUCUGACUGACUUCAGUAC